UGGGGAAUAUUGCACAAUGGGCGGAAGCCUGAUGCAGCGACGCCGCGUGGGGGAUGAAGGCCUUCGGGUUGUAAACUCCUUUCGACAGGGACGAAGCUUUUGUGACGGUACCUGUAUAAGAAGCACCGGCUAACUACGUGCCAGCAGCCGCGGUAAUACGUAGGGUGCGAGCGUUGUCCGGAAUUACUGGGCGUAAAGAGCUCGUAGGUGGUUUGUCGCGUCGUCUGUGAAAUUCCGGGGCUUAACUCCGGGCGUGCAGGCGAUACGGGCUGACUUGAGUGCUGUAGGGGAGACUGGAAUUCCUGGUGUAGCGGUGAAAUGCGCAGAUAUCAGGAGGAACACCGAUGGCGAAGGCAGGUCUCUGGGCAGUAACUGACGCUGAGGAGCGAAAGCAUGGGUAGCGAACAGGAUUAGAUACCCUGGUAGUCCAUGCCGUANANNGGGGGGGCUCUAGGUGUAGGGGGCUUCCACGUCUUCUGUGCCGUAGCUAACGCAUUUAGCGCCCCGCCNGGGGAGUACGGGCCCCAGGGU
Molecule: ribosomal RNA, 531 nt
Filed under: uncultured bacterium
Lineage: Bacteria
Description: bacterial SSU rRNA
Rfam family: Bacterial small subunit ribosomal RNA
Source: RNAcentral